CAGCAGCCGCGGGAAUACGAAGGGGGCUAGCGUUGUUCGGAAUCACUGGGCGUAAAGCGCACGUAGGCGGACCUUUAAGUCAGGGGUGAAGGCCUGGAGCUCAACUCCAGAACUGCCUUUGAUACUGGAGGUCUCGAGUGUGGAAGAGGCUGGUGGAACUGCGAGUGUAGAGGUGAAAUUCGUAGAUAUUCGCAAGAACACCAGUGGCGAAGGCGGCCAACUGGUCCAUUACUGACGCUGAGGUGCGAAAGCGUGGGGAGCAAACAGGAUUAGAUACCCCUGUAGUCCCUGUCUCUUAUAC
This 301-nucleotide ribosomal RNA is filed under the name uncultured bacterium. RNAcentral describes it as "partial 16S ribosomal RNA". It matches the Rfam family "Bacterial small subunit ribosomal RNA", at positions 509 to 807 of the family's 1533-position model. The record is from RNAcentral.